UACGUGAUUAGACACUUUUCAAGGAGUAGGCACUUUGUAUGGGCAAUUUUACUUAUUUACCCUUUAAUUACAUCGGUUACAAUCUCUUGUCUCUCUCCUUUUUCUAUCUCUUUUUUUUCUUCAGAAAACACAAAAUCCAGCGGAAGAUGAUGGUUGAUGGGUUUGCUAGAAUUACAACUUGGUUUAAAAAUCUGCACCCUGAUAAUUUUGUUGUCUAUGUGUUUAUUCAUGUAAUUGUAGUUUCAUGCGUUCUACCUAAAGUUCAUUCAAUUGCUCCAAAACCUUAAAGUUUGCAGUUUUUUUUCUUCCAGUUCUUCACUUGCUAGAUCUUAGAAUUUCAGAGACCAUAAAAUAUGAAGAACAAAAAAGAAGAAAGAAUAAGUGAACGAGCGACCGAGUGAAGGAUCUCGUGUAGCAGUAGAAGCCGCGAUCUCGUUUCUCUGGUUUUUGGUGGCAAAUCAUCAGUCGUGGUUCUCCCACUUCUCUGAUAAUCACAGCGGCGAGAGAAAAUUUUGGGCUUAUUUAAUCAAAGUUGUGUUCUCUUAUAUAGCACUUUUCUCAAUUUUCAAUUAGUUUUUAUUUCCUGAGAGUAAACGAUUUCUCAUUUAUUCUAUAUUGGUGGUUUAAGAUUUUAAUUUGAGAGAGAGAAAGAUAAAAAAAACUUGAUCAGUGGAUGCUUUUGCUUCUUGUGGAGUGUUUGAAGAUUUUCCAUUGAUGGAGCAGCUUUGUAUCAGGUUCUUUCCACACUGAUUUAUUCAUAUUGAGUUUUUUUUUUAUUGGGUGUGAAUGUUAUGGUGAAUUGAGUUUAAACUUGUUUGAGUAGAUAUUCGCUUGUUAUGAUGCAUCCGAUUCCCCAAACACUUGCUUUUGUGUUGAUCUUAUAUUCUCUUUGAUUCAAUUUUGCAGAUGAUUCUUUGCAUUACAUUAAUUUACAUCACAAACUGACGUAUUGUGCAUCCAUGAAUUCAACUUGAUUCAAAUGAUUGGUGACCAUAGAUGAUAGUACAAACAUAUAUGGUCAGCUGGACGCCUGCUUGUUAAUGUCAUCCAAGGGAAUCUGUCCAUUCAGACGCAAACAUCGAUAUUAUGCUCCUUUUAUACACAAUAUAAGUAAAUCUGUUUCUUGUUAUAUCUAGGAUUAGUAGACAAUUUUGGUUAUAAUAUUGGGAGUUUCCAUACACAAGUGAAUAAAUGGUUAAAGAAAAAUAGACGAUGUACUUUGAAUGGGUGUUUGAAUUGGUGAUUAUCAUUCAUGUAUAAACUUGUGUAUUGAAAUGAAACGACCUCAUGAGUCACUAGAUUACCACAUGGACUAAACCGCUUGGAUAGUCAUCAAUGGACAACUAUGUCUUUGAUUUGCUUCAAAUGUGUUUUAUUGAUUGGUAAAAUUAUCAUUUUUUGUAUGGUUCAGAGUUUUGUUUUAUGGUUUUAGAUUUAGUGGAGAAGGAUCAUGGGAGGGUUUGGGUUUAAUUUUAGGGUAAGUAAAUUAGGAUUUAGUGUAAAGCGUUAAAGGUAGAGGGUUUACACACUCGUAUGAACCAUUUUUGAAUAUAAUCAUAUGAAUAUUACCAUAGGAAUGAUCCUAUAUUUUACAGUUUUUACAUUAAAAUGUUUUAUCUGCACAAACAAAUACACGAAAGAUGAAUAACACAAAAUCUAAACAUUGUUCACCAAAUCUAAACAUUGUUCACCAAAAUCAAAUAAAAGAAUACUUCAUUAGUUGGAUAACAUAUCUUCGAAGAGUAAUGGACGGAUUCCUAUAGCUGACAAUCGGCAAGUACGUGUUCAUCUAUGAUUUUUAGAAGUAGAGUUGUAUCCAUGAAACAUCGACCAAAUGGAUAUAGUGCAACAAAUGAAGGUGUAUCCACCUAGCGCCGAACAAAUGGAUAUAUAUUUUGUGUUUUCUCGUAAACUUUUCUUGACAUCCAUGAGUCGACAUAAGUAUGGAGUUGCCAGACAAGACACUGGAGCUCACGGCGGCCACCGCAGCCUCAUGGACCAAAGUUUCAAAAAAAGCUCAUAAACAUCAACCAAUCUUCUUGCAUAACCACCACAUACCCAGCCUUAUGCGUCCAAUCACUUUCCAUCUACGCAAAUGACAUCCAAACAUUUUUCAAUUCAAAAACAAGGCAAUAAAUUCAACAGAUCUAACAAAAAUAAAUUUAAAUUGAAGGAUAAAAUCAUAAAAUCUAGAACCCAUAACAAAAAAAAAGUUUAAAGAUUUACAAUCUAAAACCUAAGCUAGAAUCAACGAAUCACAUGUACCAUUGGCCUUUAUGAUUCAAAACCAAAGAAACCUUUUACCAAAAAAAAACAACGAAACCAGAAACCGUAAGUAAGACAAGAGAGAAGAGCAUGGAACCAGAAAAAGAGGAAGAUUAAGGGAAGAGGGAGUUCGGUAGCAGAGAGUAAGGAUCUCCUUCUUCUUCGUCUCGAAAAGGAGAAAUCGAUGAUGUUACUUUUUUUGUUGGUCAUAGUCGUUCAUUGAUGGAGGUUGCAGAUAAUGAAAUGGAUUUGAUGAUGGAGAAUGGAGAAAAGAAUACAAAACUAAAAAAAUAAAGGAAAUUUAGGGUAAACAUAGAUUGUGAUUGUGAAUUUUGAGAUAACCUCAGAAUUUUCAUAAUUUUGUAAGAAUUAUUGAGAACGACUAUGAUGUGAAAGAGGAAUUGAAAAUGAUGAAAAACAAAAGAAUAUGGAAAGGAGAAAUGAUAAAAAAAA
This 2718-nucleotide small RNA is filed under the name Arabidopsis thaliana (thale cress). RNAcentral's name for it is "ATSL280850". Lineage: Eukaryota; Viridiplantae; Streptophyta; Magnoliopsida; Brassicales; Brassicaceae. The record is from RNAcentral.